GUGGGGAAUAUUGCACAAUGGGCGAAAGCCUGAUGCAGCAACGCCGCGUGAGGGAUGACGGCCUUCGGGUUGUAAACCUCUUUUAGUAGGGAAGAAGCGAAAGUGACGGUACCUACAGAAAAAGCGCCGGCUAACUACGUGCCAGCAGCCGCGGUAAUACGUAGGGCGCAAGCGUUGUCCGGAAUUAUUGGGCGUAAAGAGCUCGUAGGCGGUUUGUCACGUCUGCUGUGAAAACCCGAGGCUCAACCUCGGGCCUGCAGUGGGUACGGGCAGACUAGAGUGCGGUAGGGGAGACUGGAACUCCUGGUGUAGCGGUGGAAUGCGCAGAUAUCAGGAAGAACACCAAUGGCGAAGGCAGGUCUCUGGGCCGUAACUGACGCUGAGGAGCGAAAGCAUGGGGAGCGAACAGGAUUAGAAACCCCAGUAGUCC
RNAcentral lists this ribosomal RNA (430 nucleotides) under uncultured bacterium. Its description in RNAcentral is "bacterial SSU rRNA". It matches the Rfam family "Bacterial small subunit ribosomal RNA", at positions 354 to 796 of the family's 1533-position model. The record is from RNAcentral.